RNAcentral lists this ribosomal RNA (173 nucleotides) under Clostridium thermopalmarium. RNAcentral's name for it is "partial 16S ribosomal RNA". It matches the Rfam family "Bacterial small subunit ribosomal RNA", at positions 337 to 528 of the family's 1533-position model. Lineage: Bacteria; Bacillati; Bacillota; Clostridia; Eubacteriales; Clostridiaceae. The record is from RNAcentral.
UCCUACGGGAGGCAGCAGUGGGGAAUAUUGCGCAAUGGGGGAAACCCUGACGCAGCAACGCCGCGUGAGCGAUGAAGGUCUUCGGAUUGUAAAGCUCUGUCUUUAGGGACGAUAAUGACGGUACCUAAGGAGGAAGCCACGGCUAACUACGUGCCAGCAGCCGCGGUAAUCUU